RNAcentral lists this long non-coding RNA (237 nucleotides) under Solanum tuberosum (potato). RNAcentral's name for it is "long non-coding RNA (STUB_LNC002553)". The record is from RNAcentral. Lineage: Eukaryota; Viridiplantae; Streptophyta; Magnoliopsida; Solanales; Solanaceae.
AAAAUAGCAAGCGGAAGACUUUCUAGACUUUAUAUAUGAUGUCUCAAAGCCAUCUAAUACUUUAGAGUACAAAAUUCGGGACUAAUCCUGUACACAACUUAAACAAUACUAAAAAGACAUAAAAGAACAUAUUGGGUAUUGUCCUCGAAUCUAUGAGGACUCACCAAGUCUUCAUCUUCAACACUUAGAAACCUAUCAAAUAGCCAUGACAUGUCAUUAUCUCCAAAUCCCUACACU